Molecule: ribosomal RNA, 253 nt
Filed under: uncultured bacterium
Lineage: Bacteria
Description: partial 16S ribosomal RNA
Rfam family: Bacterial small subunit ribosomal RNA
Source: RNAcentral
UACAUGGGGUGCAAGCGUUGUCCGGAAUGAUUGGGCGUAAAGCGUUCGUAGGUGGUUCUUAAAGUCGAUUGUCAAAUCCCAGAGCUCAACUUUGGAGAGGCACUCGAAACUCAAGGGCUAGAGGACGGUAGGGGUAGAGGGAAUUCCCAGUGUAGCGGUGAAAUGCACAGAGAUUGGGAAGAACACCAGCGGCGAAGGCGCUCUACUGGGCCGUUACUGACACUGAGGGACGAAAGCUGAGGGAGCGAAUAGG